GCGGAGGAAAAGAAACUAACAAGGAUUCCCCUAGUAACGGCGAGUGAAGCGGGAAGAGCUCAAAUUUGAAAUCUGGUGGCCUCAGGUCAUCCGAGUUGUAAUCUAUAGAAGUGUUUUCCGUGCUGGCUCAUGUACAAGUCCCUUGGAACAGGGCGUCAUAGAGGGUGAGAAUCCCGUCCUUGACAUGAACUACCAGUGCUCUGUGAUACAUUUUCAACGAGUCGAGUUGUUUGGGAAUGCAGCUCAAAAUGGGUGGUAAAUUCCAUCUAAAGCUAAAUAUUGGCGAGAGACCGAUAGCGAACAAGUACCGUGAGGGAAAGAUGAAAAGCACUUUGGAAAGAGAGUUAAACAGUAUGUGAAAUUGUUGAAAGGGAAACGAUUGAAGUCAGUCGUGCUCUUUGGAUUCAGCCGGUUCUGCCGGUGUACUUCCUUUGAGUGGGGUCAACAUCAGUUUUGAUCGCUGGAUAAAGGCUGGAGGAACGUAGUACCCUCGGGUAAACUUAUAGCCUCCUGUCACAUACAGUGGUUGGGACUGAGGAACGCAGCACGCCUUUAUGGCCGGGAUUCGUCCACGUACGUGCUUAGGAUGUUGACAUAAUGGCUUUAAACGACCCGUCUUGA
Molecule: ribosomal RNA, 621 nt
Filed under: Filobasidium elegans
Lineage: Eukaryota; Fungi; Basidiomycota; Tremellomycetes; Filobasidiales; Filobasidiaceae
Description: eukaryotic LSU rRNA
Rfam family: Eukaryotic large subunit ribosomal RNA
Source: RNAcentral